RNAcentral lists this ribosomal RNA (428 nucleotides) under uncultured bacterium. RNAcentral's name for it is "partial 16S ribosomal RNA". It matches the Rfam family "Bacterial small subunit ribosomal RNA", at positions 354 to 796 of the family's 1533-position model. The record is from RNAcentral.
GUAGGGAAUAUUGCGCAAUGGACGAAAGUCUGACGCAGCGACGCCGCGUGAGUGAUGAAGGCCUUAGGGUCGUAAAGCUCUGUUGAAUGGGAAGAAAAAAAUGACGGUACCAUUCGAGGAAGGACCGGCUAACUUCGUGCCAGCAGCCGCGGUAAUACGAGGGGUCCUAGCGUUGUUCGGAAUCAUUGGGCGUAAAGGGUGUGUAGGUGGCCAUGUAAGUCAGGUGUGAAAGCCCCGGGCUCAACCCGGGAAGUGCACUUGAUACUGCGUGGCUUGAGUACCGAAGAGGGUAGUGGAAUUCCAGGUGUAGUGGUGAAAUACGUAGAUAUCUGGAGGAACACCGGUGGCGAAGGCGGCUACCUGGUCGAGUACUGACACUGAGACACGAAAGCAUGGGGAGCAAACAGGAUUAGAAACCCCGGUAGUCC